AGCUCAGUGGUAGAGCACAGGACUUGCAAACCUAAGGCCCCAGGUUUGAUCCUGG
This 55-nucleotide transfer RNA is filed under the name Erinaceus europaeus (western European hedgehog). It matches the Rfam family "tRNA", at positions 9 to 63 of the family's 71-position model. Rfam says of the family: Transfer RNA (tRNA) molecules are approximately 80 nucleotides in length. Their secondary structure includes four short double-helical elements and three loops (D, anti-codon, and T loops). The record is from Rfam by way of RNAcentral. Lineage: Eukaryota; Metazoa; Chordata; Mammalia; Eulipotyphla; Erinaceidae.